Molecule: ribosomal RNA, 484 nt
Filed under: uncultured bacterium
Lineage: Bacteria
Description: partial 16S ribosomal RNA
Rfam family: Bacterial small subunit ribosomal RNA
Source: RNAcentral
AUUGAACGCUGGCGGCAGGCCUAACACAUGCAAGUCGAGCGGAUGAAGGGAGCUUGCUCCUGGAUUCAGCGGCGGACGGGUGAGUAAUGCCUAGGAAUCUGCCUGGUAGUGGGGGAUAACGUCCGGAAACGGGCGCUAAUACCGCAUACGUCCUGAGGGAGAAAGUGGGGGAUCUUCGGACCUCACGCUAUCGGAUGAGCCUAGGUCGGAUUAGCUAGUUGGUGGGGUAAAGGCCUACCAAGGCGACGAUCCGUAACUGGUCUGAGAGGAUGAUCAGUCACACUGGAACUGAGACACGGUCCAGACUCCUACGGGAGGCAGCAGUGGGGAAUAUUGGACAAUGGGCGAAAGCCUGAUCCAGCCAUGCCGCGUGUGUGAAGAAGGUCUUCGGAUUGUAAAGCACCUUAAGUUGGGAGGAAGGGCAGUAAGUUAAUACCUUGCUGUUUUGACGUUACCAACAGAAUAAGCACCGGCUAACUUCGUG